UCGACUUGCAAAAGCCUGCAGAAAAUUCUUCAAGCUGCAACAGGUCAACAUCGUAUCUUCUGAUUUAAUUGAGCAGAAUCGUACUUUUUGUUUUCUAAUUCUUCGUAAAAAUUACAAGGUUACAUAAAACAAUUCGGGACUUUUGACUAGAUUUCGGUAGAUGGAAGCUAUACUUACAACGAACCUAUGGAGGCAAAAAAUGGAUGCGAAUGGAGAGAGAUGCAGCUCCAAGCAAUUACAAAAUCAGCCUGAUUUUCUAGGUGCUGUAUUUGUACUGAUUUUUGAAAAAAAAAAUUGAAAAGUUGAUACUCCAGAUAUUUUUCAUUCAACAUCUGACAGAGAAUGAGAACGUGCACACCAGUGUAAACGGCCAAAAACAAAUAUUCCGAGACAGAGAUAACUGAUAACACUUUUGAAUGGUGGAUGCUCCAUCAUGUUCACUCUUCAACGUGGGCUGGCAAAGGAGUUGCAUGACGUACAUCGGAACGGAUAUGAAGUGAUUUGGGCAGAAAACCAUGGGAACGACAUUCUGGACUGGAGGAAUUUGGAAAUGGAGACACGUGCAUCUAUUUGGGAUACAUGGAUCAGAGAUUCGGGAUUUCCUGAAUGAGCUUUUUUGUCAAGUGAAGUCCAAAUGUUAUUGUCAGUGGGAGAGAUAGAAAAACAGAGUUGCCGAUUCUCUGCAUUACCACUGCCUUCUCUAUUAUACAGAACCAUAGAAGGCAUCAGUCAAUAAUCUUCAAGCUGCUGAGUUCAAAUUGGAGAAGGAAAACCACCAACCUCAACUGACUAUCGAUCUCAAACUUUGCGGUUGAUCGCCAGGAGCUACAACCACCAGACCACAGAUCAUUCAAUUUCCAAUACCCAUAUCUUUGUAAGUAUGAUAAGUUGUUGUAGUAGUUAGUACUCCUAUAGUCAACCGCAAGAAAAUAGUCCGAUGGAAAAUGGAACAUAUGAGUGCAACGUUGCCAAAUAAGAGUUGAUCUAUGUUGUGCACUGCUGUUAUAAAUGAGUAUUUUUUCACGAAUUAGCAACGUCUAUGGGUGUGGUGGGAGGUGAGGAGGUACUCAGUCGUUCCAAUUUCCAUCGGACUGUUUUCGUGCGGUUGACUAUAUUAAUGAGUUGCUUGAAUAGUUAGUACUCCUAUAGUGAGGUCCACGUUAUAAUGGCAAUUUUUGUUUAACAUUGCUGUUGCUAUCUCAUUCGACAA
Long non-coding RNA from Nilaparvata lugens (brown planthopper), 1210 nucleotides. RefSeq lists it as uncharacterized. The transcript is spliced from 8 exons. The record is from RefSeq and is a predicted model, not a curated record. Lineage: Eukaryota; Metazoa; Arthropoda; Insecta; Hemiptera; Delphacidae.